This 497-nucleotide ribosomal RNA is filed under the name uncultured bacterium. Its description in RNAcentral is "partial 16S ribosomal RNA". It matches the Rfam family "Bacterial small subunit ribosomal RNA", at positions 28 to 507 of the family's 1533-position model. The record is from RNAcentral.
GAUGAACGCUGGCGGCGUGCCUAAUACAUGCAAGUCGAGCGAACAGACGAGGAGCUUGCUCCUCUGACGUUAGCGGCGGACGGGUGAGUAACACGUGGAUAACCUACCUAUAAGACUGGGAUAACUUCGGGAAACCGGAGCUAAUACCGGAUAAUAUAUUGAACCGCAUGGUUCAAUAGUGAAAGACGGUUUUGCUGUCACUUAUAGAUGGAUCCGCGCCGCAUUAGCUAGUUGGUAAGGUAACGGCUUACCAAGGCAACGAUGCGUAGCCGACCUGAGAGGGUUAUCCGCCACACUGGCACUGGGACACGGUCCAGACUCCUACGGGAGGCAACAGUAGGGAAUCUUCCGCAAUGGGCGAAAGCUUGACGGAGCAACGCCGCGUAAGUGAUGAAGGUCUUCGGAUCGUAAAACUCUGUUAUUAGGGAAGAACAAAUGUGUAAGUAACUGUGCACGUCUUGACGGUACCUAAUCAGAAAGCCACGGCUAACUACGUG